This 77-nucleotide small RNA is filed under the name Xanthomonas dyei pv. eucalypti. Its description in RNAcentral is "sX9 sRNA". It matches the Rfam family "Xanthomonas sRNA sX9". Lineage: Bacteria; Pseudomonadati; Pseudomonadota; Gammaproteobacteria; Lysobacterales; Lysobacteraceae. The record is from RNAcentral. RNAcentral also lists the same sequence under 3 other names.
AUGUACCACGCGUACACUCCGGUUUCUAAGGCGCCGUCCACACCCACCUGACGACUGCUCAUUACGUUUCGUUAGCC